GAGGAUAUAGCUCAGUGGUAGAGUGCAUACCUAGCACGCAUGAGGUCAUGGGUUCAAUCCCCAGUUCCUCC
RNAcentral lists this transfer RNA (71 nucleotides) under Camelus bactrianus (Bactrian camel). It matches the Rfam family "tRNA". From Rfam's summary of the family: Transfer RNA (tRNA) molecules are approximately 80 nucleotides in length. Their secondary structure includes four short double-helical elements and three loops (D, anti-codon, and T loops). Lineage: Eukaryota; Metazoa; Chordata; Mammalia; Artiodactyla; Camelidae. RNAcentral also lists the same sequence under 2 other names. The record is from Rfam by way of RNAcentral.